RNAcentral lists this ribosomal RNA (497 nucleotides) under uncultured bacterium. RNAcentral describes it as "partial 16S ribosomal RNA". It matches the Rfam family "Bacterial small subunit ribosomal RNA", at positions 28 to 507 of the family's 1533-position model. The record is from RNAcentral.
GAUGAACGCUGGCGGCGUGCCUAAUACAUGCAAGUCGAGCGAACGGACGAGAAGCUUGCUUCUCUGAUGUUAGCGGCGGACGGGUGAGUAACACGUGGAUAACCUACCUAUAAGACUGGGAUAACUUCGGGAAACCGGAGCUAAUACCGGAUGAUAUUUUGAACCGCAUGGUUCAAAAGUGAAAGACGGUCUUGCUGUCACUUAUAGAUGGAUCCGCGCUGCAUUAGCUAGUUGGUAAGGUAACGGCUUACCAAGGCAACGAUGCAUAGCCAACCUGAGAGGGUGAUCGGCCACACUGGAACUGAGACACGGUCCAGACUCCUACGGGAGGCAGCAGUAGGGAAUCUUCCGCAAUGGGCGAAGGCCUGACGGAGCAACGCCGCGUGAGUGAUGAAGGUCUUCGGAUCGUAAAACUCUGUUAUUAGGGAAGAACAUAUGUGUAAGUAACUGUGCACAUCUUGACGGUACCUAAUCAGAAAGCCACGGCUAACUACGUG